AACGAACGCUGGCGGCGCGCCUAAUACAUGCAAGUCGAACGAGAAUGUGUAGCAAUACACAUGUACAGUGGCGAACGGGUGAGGACUACAUGGGUAACCUACCCUCGAGUGGGGAAUAACUAGCCGAAAGGUUAGCUAAUACCGCGUACGCUUCCCAGACUGCGGUUUGGGAAGGAAAGCGAUACCGUGGGUAUCGCGCUCUUGGAUGGGCUCAUGCCCUACUCAGCUUGUUGGUGAGGUAACGGCUCACCAAGGCUUCGACGGGUAGCUGAUCUGAGAGGAUGAUCAGCCACACUGGCACUGCGACACGGGCCAGACUCCUACGGGAGGCAGCAGUAAGGAAUAUUGCGCAAUGGGCGAAAGCCUGACGCAGCGACGCCGCGUGGGGGAUGAAGGUCUUCGGAUUGUAAACCCCUUUCGGGAGGGAAGAUGGGAUGGGGUAACCCAUUCGGACGGUACCUCCAGAAGCAGCCACGGCUAACUUCGUGCCAGCAGCCGCGGUAAUACGAAGGUGGCAAGCGUUGUUCGGAUUUACUGGGCGUACAGGGAGCGUAGGCAGUUGGAUAAGCCCUCCCGUGAAAUCUCCAGGCCUUACCCUGCA
This 601-nucleotide ribosomal RNA is filed under the name uncultured bacterium. Its description in RNAcentral is "bacterial SSU rRNA". It matches the Rfam family "Bacterial small subunit ribosomal RNA", at positions 28 to 618 of the family's 1533-position model. The record is from RNAcentral.